GAUGAACGCUGGCGGCGUGCCUAAUACAUGCAAGUCGAGCGAACAGAUGAGGAGCUUGCUCCUCUGACGUUAGCGGCGGACGGGUGAGUAACACGUGGAUAACCUACCUAUAAGACUGGGAUAACUUCGGGAAACCGGAGCUAAUACCGGAUAAUAUAUUGAACCGCAUGGUUCAAUAGUGAAAGACGGUUUUGCUGUCACUUAUAGAUGGAUCCGCGCCGCAUUAGCUAGUUGGUAAGGUAACGGCUUACCAAGGCAACGAUGCGUAGCCGACCUGAGAGGGUGAUCGGCCCCACUUGAACUGGGAAACGGUCCAGACUCCUAAGGGAGGCAGCAGUAGGGAAUCUUGCCCCAUGGGCGAAAGCCUGAAGGAGCCAAGCCGCGUGGGUGAAGAAGGUCUUCGGGUUGUAAAACCCUUUUAUUGGGGAAGAAAAAAAGUUUAAGAAAACGUGGCCCUAUUGACGGUACCCAAAGAAAAAGCCCCGGCUAACUCCGGG
This 497-nucleotide ribosomal RNA is filed under the name uncultured bacterium. RNAcentral's name for it is "partial 16S ribosomal RNA". It matches the Rfam family "Bacterial small subunit ribosomal RNA", at positions 28 to 507 of the family's 1533-position model. The record is from RNAcentral.